UGAGGAAUAUUGCGCAAUGGAGGAAACUCUGACGCAGCCAUGCCGCGUGAGUGAAGAAGGCCUUAGGGUUGUAAAGCUCUUUCAGUAGCGAAGAUAAUGACGGUAACUACAGAAGAAGCCCCGGCUAAAUUCGUGCCAGCAGCCGCGGUAAUACGAAUGGGGCAAGCGUUGUUCGGAAUCACUGGGCUUAAAGCGUGCGCAGGCGGAUAUGAAAGUCAGGAGUGAAAUCCCAGGGCUCAACCCUGGAACUGCUCUUGAAACUCCAUAUCUAGAAUCCGGUAGAGGUUAGGAGAAUUCCGAGUGUAGAGGUGAAAUUCGCAGAUAUUCGGAGGAAUACCAGUGGCGUAGGCGCCUAACUGGACCGGCAUUGACGCUCAUGCACGAAAGCGUGGGGAGCAAACAGGAUUAGAUACCCCCGUAGUCC
RNAcentral lists this ribosomal RNA (424 nucleotides) under uncultured prokaryote. RNAcentral describes it as "bacterial SSU rRNA". It matches the Rfam family "Bacterial small subunit ribosomal RNA", at positions 355 to 796 of the family's 1533-position model. The record is from RNAcentral.